CCUGGAGGAAGGUGGGGAUGACGUCAAAUCAUCAUGCCCCUUAUGCUUAGGGCUACACACGUGCUACAAUGGGUAGUACAGAGGGUUGCCAAGCCGUAAGGUGGAGCUAAUCCCUUAAAGCUACUCUCAGUUCGGAUUGUAGGCUGAAACUCGCCUACAUGAAGCUGGAGUUACUAGUAAUCGCAGAUCAGAAUGCUGCGGUGAAUGCGUUCCCGGGUCUUGUACCCACCGCCCGUCACACCACGGGAGUUGGAGACGCCCGAAGCCGAUUAUCUAACCUCUUGGAAUAAGUCGUCGAAGGUGGAAUCAAUACCUGGGGUGAAG
This 324-nucleotide ribosomal RNA is filed under the name Clostridioides difficile. RNAcentral describes it as "bacterial SSU rRNA". It matches the Rfam family "Bacterial small subunit ribosomal RNA", at positions 1162 to 1485 of the family's 1533-position model. The record is from RNAcentral. Lineage: Bacteria; Bacillati; Bacillota; Clostridia; Peptostreptococcales; Peptostreptococcaceae.